Molecule: ribosomal RNA, 290 nt
Filed under: Escherichia coli
Lineage: Bacteria; Pseudomonadati; Pseudomonadota; Gammaproteobacteria; Enterobacterales; Enterobacteriaceae
Description: partial 16S ribosomal RNA
Rfam family: Bacterial small subunit ribosomal RNA
Source: RNAcentral
GAGAAGCGACCUCGCGAGAGCAAGCGGACCUCAUAAAGUGCGUCGUAGUCCGGAUUGGAGUCUGCAACUCGACUCCAUGAAGUCGGAAUCGCUAGUAAUCGUGGAUCAGAAUGCCACGGUGAAUACGUUCCCGGGCCUUGUACACACCGCCCGUCACACCAUGGGAGUGGGUUGCAAAAGAAGUAGGUAGCUUAACCUUAGGGAGGGCGCUUACCACUUUGUGAUUCAUGACUGGGGUGAAGUCGUAACAAGGUAACCGUAGGGGAACCUGCGGUUGGAUCACCUCCUUA